RNAcentral lists this ribosomal RNA (2912 nucleotides) under Staphylococcus aureus. Its description in RNAcentral is "partial 23S ribosomal RNA". It matches the Rfam family "Bacterial large subunit ribosomal RNA". The record is from RNAcentral. Lineage: Bacteria; Bacillati; Bacillota; Bacilli; Caryophanales; Staphylococcaceae.
UAAGGGCGCACGGUGGAUGCCUUGGCACUAGAAGCCGAUGAAGGACGUUACUAACGACGAUAUGCUUUGGGGAGCUGUAAGUAAGCUUUGAUCCAGAGAUUUCCGAAUGGGGAAACCCAGCAUGAGUUAUGUCAUGUUAUCGAUAUGUGAAUACAUAGCAUAUCAGAAGGCACACCCGGAGAACUGAAACAUCUUAGUACCCGGAGGAAGAGAAAGAAAAUUCGAUUCCCUUAGUAGCGGCGAGCGAAACGGGAAGAGCCCAAACCAACAAGCUUGCUUGUUGGGGUUGUAGGACACUCUAUACGGAGUUACAAAGGACGACAUUAGACGAAUCAUCUGGAAAGAUGAAUCAAAGAAGGUAAUAAUCCUGUAGUCGAAAAUGUUGUCUCUCUUGAGUGGAUCCUGAGUACGACGGAGCACGUGAAAUUCCGUCGGAAUCUGGGAGGACCAUCUCCUAAGGCUAAAUACUCUCUAGUGACCGAUAGUGAACCAGUACCGUGAGGGAAAGGUGAAAAGCACCCCGGAAGGGGAGUGAAAUAGAACCUGAAACCGUGUGCUUACAAGUAGUCAGAGCCCGUUAAUGGGUGAUGGCGUGCCUUUUGUAGAAUGAACCGGCGAGUUACGAUUUGAUGCAAGGUUAAGCAGUAAAUGUGGAGCCGUAGCGAAAGCGAGUCUGAAUAGGGCGUUUAGUAUUUGGUCGUAGACCCGAAACCAGGUGAUCUACCCUUGGUCAGGUUGAAGUUCAGGUAACACUGAAUGGAGGACCGAACCGACUUACGUUGAAAAGUGAGCGGAUGAACUGAGGGUAGCGGAGAAAUUCCAAUCGAACCUGGAGAUAGCUGGUUCUCUCCGAAAUAGCUUUAGGGCUAGCCUCAAGUGAUGAUUAUUGGAGGUAGAGCACUGUUUGGACGAGGGGCCCCUCUCGGGUUACCGAAUUCAGACAAACUCCGAAUGCCAAUUAAUUUAACUUGGGAGUCAGAACAUGGGUGAUAAGGUCCGUGUUCGAAAGGGAAACAGCCCAGACCACCAGCUAAGGUCCCAAAAUAUAUGUUAAGUGGAAAAGGAUGUGGCGUUGCCCAGACAACUAGGAUGUUGGCUUAGAAGCAGCCAUCAUUUAAAGAGUGCGUAAUAGCUCACUAGUCGAGUGACACUGCGCCGAAAAUGUACCGGGGCUAAACAUAUUACCGAAGCUGUGGAUUGUCCUUUGGACAAUGGUAGGAGAGCGUUCUAAGGGCGUUGAAGCAUGAUCGUAAGGACAUGUGGAGCGCUUAGAAGUGAGAAUGCCGGUGUGAGUAGCGAAAGACGGGUGAGAAUCCCGUCCACCGAUUGACUAAGGUUUCCAGAGGAAGGCUCGUCCGCUCUGGGUUAGUCGGGUCCUAAGCUGAGGCCGACAGGCGUAGGCGAUGGAUAACAGGUUGAUAUUCCUGUACCACCUAUAAUCGUUUUAAUCGAUGGGGGGACGCAGUAGGAUAGGCGAAGCGUGCGAUUGGAUUGCACGUCUAAGCAGUAAGGCUGAGUAUUAGGCAAAUCCGGUACUCAUUAAGGCUGAGCUGUGAUGGGGAGAAGACAUUGUGUCUUCGAGUCGUUGAUUUCACACUGCCGAGAAAAGCCUCUAGAUAGAAAAUAGGUGCCCGUACCGCAAACCGACACAGGUAGUCAAGAUGAGAAUUCUAAGGUGAGCGAGCGAACUCUCGUUAAGGAACUCGGCAAAAUGACCCCGUAACUUCGGGAGAAGGGGUGCUCUUUAGGGUUAACGCCCAGAAGAGCCGCAGUGAAUAGGCCCAAGCGACUGUUUAUCAAAAACACAGGUCUCUGCUAAACCGUAAGGUGAUGUAUAGGGGCUGACGCCUGCCCGGUGCUGGAAGGUUAAGAGGAGUGGUUAGCUUCUGCGAAGCUACGAAUCGAAGCCCCAGUAAACGGCGGCCGUAACUAUAACGGUCCUAAGGUAGCGAAAUUCCUUGUCGGGUAAGUUCCGACCCGCACGAAAGGCGUAACGAUUUGGGCACUGUCUCAACGAGAGACUCGGUGAAAUCAUAGUACCUGUGAAGAUGCAGGUUACCCGCGACAGGACGGAAAGACCCCGUGGAGCUUUACUGUAGCCUGAUAUUGAAAUUCGGCACAGCUUGUACAGGAUAGGUAGGAGCCUUUGAAACGUGAGCGCUAGCUUACGUGGAGGCGCUGGUGGGAUACUACCCUAGCUGUGUUGGCUUUCUAACCCGCACCACUUAUCGUGGUGGGAGACAGUGUCAGGCGGGCAGUUUGACUGGGGCGGUCGCCUCCUAAAAGGUAACGGAGGCGCUCAAAGGUUCCCUCAGAAUGGUUGGAAAUCAUUCAUAGAGUGUAAAGGCAUAAGGGAGCUUGACUGCGAGACCUACAAGUCGAGCAGGGUCGAAAGACGGACUUAGUGAUCCGGUGGUUCCGCAUGGAAGGGCCAUCGCUCAACGGAUAAAAGCUACCCCGGGGAUAACAGGCUUAUCUCCCCCAAGAGUUCACAUCGACGGGGAGGUUUGGCACCUCGAUGUCGGCUCAUCGCAUCCUGGGGCUGUAGUCGGUCCCAAGGGUUGGGCUGUUCGCCCAUUAAAUCGGUACGCGAGCUGGGUUCAGAACGUCGUGAGACAGUUCGGUCCCUAUCCGUCGUGGGCGUAGGAAAUUUGAGAGGAGCUGUCCUUAGUACGAGAGGACCGGGAUGGACAUACCUCUGGUGUACCAGUUGUCGUGCCAACGGCAUAGCUGGGUAGCUAUGUGUGGACGGGAUAAGUGCUGAAAGCAUCUAAGCAUGAAGCCCCCCUCAAGAUGAGAUUUCCCAACUUCGGUUAUAAGAUCCCUCAAAUAUGAUGAGGUUAAUAGGUUCGAGGUGGAAGCAUGGUGACAUGUGGAGCUGACGAAUACUAAUCGAUCGAAGACUUAAUCAA